Molecule: long non-coding RNA, 448 nt
Organism: Danio aesculapii
Lineage: Eukaryota; Metazoa; Chordata; Actinopteri; Cypriniformes; Danionidae
Exons: 5
Source: RefSeq, a predicted model, not a curated record
CAGACACAUUGUGUAAGGAAGGCCAAGACCAAUCUGGAAUCAAUAAAGGCUCAUAGGAACUCCAGUCGUCCCAACUGUGAGAGGGCCUUGCUCCAGUGACUGUUGGAUAUUGGCAUACCAGGAUAGGUGUGGUUUAACUGUUGGGAAGGAGGUUGAAACAGUGCAAUGUUUCCUCUCUUGGAUUGCAGAGACCAGACAUGCUUCUGUAACUCUCAUGGUCAUGUGCUGGUAUUAGCAGAUGUUCAACUAUUUGCCCAUCUCGCUGACCUGUUGAUAUCAGAAGACCACAACAGCUCUGCAAUGCAAGUUGCAAAACAGAAUCCAUGAAACUGGCAGUGACCGGAAACCAAUUGGAAGACUUUGGUUUAUGAUGUAGAGAAGUGGGCAGACGCAGAAGCAAAGACAACAAAAAACAGAAGUGAUGUGGAUGUCUUCGCCUUAUAGCAUG